Molecule: long non-coding RNA, 42723 nt
Filed under: Setaria viridis
Lineage: Eukaryota; Viridiplantae; Streptophyta; Magnoliopsida; Poales; Poaceae
Description: long non-coding RNA (SVIR_LNC007434)
Source: RNAcentral
UUUUUUUUUGGCAUGGUCCCUAAACACAACUUUGACCACUGGUUAAUGUUUUUAUAUAUGCACAAAUCUACUCCUGUACUCUAGUAGUAUCAUCAAUUCAUCAUACAUCUAGAUGUUACCAACUUAGAGUAAGAAUGUAAUAUAGAAGACAUAAGUUUAUGCAAAUUUCAGUAUGCAUACAAAGUUUCAGUCAUUUUCUUGAACAUACUUAAAUAUAUCUGCAGAUGUUGACACCCUCUAACGCAACUGUUCCUGCUGUAUGAUAUAUAUGUGCACCAGAUCAGUGCCAGUAUGGACAUGCAACUGGUAACAUUGAGGCAUGGAAAUAAUACCAUGCUCAUCAAAACAGCGUGCACAGUCACCAUGAGAUGGCUGAUACCAUAAUACACGCCAUGGCCUAAAUUGAUCAAAAUCAACACACAUACCCUGAACAGACUCAACUAGCAGGAACCUAGACUCUGAGAGGCAGAGACAUGGGAGUCAAGGAUCUGAACCAAUUGUUGAUUUUGCAAGGAACAAGCUAUUAUAAGGGAUCAUAGAUAACUCAAGAUUAGUACAAUAACUGGCCAACUCACUACCAAAGUUCUAUAAAUUCCGAGUUCCAGUAAGCAAUGUUGUACAUGCACCCAAGGUUAUUGAAUCACAAUUAAAAACAGACAUAAGGGCUAAAUGGAGGUUAGCAGCGCCCUAACUCAGGGGUAGCAGCACCCAAGGUUUGGUGCAGAGUGCGUAGUCUAGAAUUUGUGGAAUUACCAGCCAUUCACAUGACACCGACACCCAAAUUUGUACCGAACACAGGACAACCCCACCCAAAAUUGUACAAAUCACGGACUAUCUCCCACAAUUCCCCAAUCACCGGAUGAAAUUAAACAAACCCGGAAUGGAAUCCGGAGCAGGAGCAUCAUCCACUCACCAGUACUUGACGGCCUUGCACUGCUUGCACCUGAACGUGGUGGGCCUGAAGCACACCGCGCAGACCCCCUUCGCCCCAGCCGGCGGCUGCGGCUGUGCCUCCACGUCCUCCUGCGCGGGAGCCACCGCCGCGGGCGGCGGCCCCCACACCGGCGCCUCGGGCACCUCCGCGGCGUGCACCACGGCCGGGAACAGCUCGGAGUAGUAGGCGAGCACGGACUCCCGCUCCGCCAGCUCGGACUCCUCGGCCGCGAGCCGCGCGAGGCGCCGCACCUCAUCCCUCCGCGCCGCGGCCCGGCGCCACCGGCUCCGCACCAGCAGCGCCAGCGCCGGCACCACCACGAGCGCCACCAGUGCCAGAACCACGGCCGCCGCCGCCGAGGACGACUCCACCUCCUCCUCCAUUGGCAGCCCGCCCCCCACCCACCUCCUCCCUCAGCCCGCUCCUCCUCCCGCUCCGCGCAUAGAUCUCGCCCCCGCCGCUCCUACCCGCCGGAUCCGCGCCCCGAUCCCCACCUCACCCGCGCGAAUCCGCUGCAAUUUAGACCCCGAGGGUUUCCAAUUUUCACCCCUCCUCUUCUCCGGUUCGGGUUUCUCUUCCUCCCUCCCCUGGUCUGGUCGUGUCUGUGUCUGGUCUUUGGAAGUGACGGAGAGGCAGGCAGGCACCAGCAGCAAGGAAGGAGCCUGGCGGUAUCCGUUUCCGGUCUGCGCACGCACCCAAGGAAUAAUUAGGCGACUUGUGGAGGGGGCGAGCCGCAAAAAGUGCGGGCGAGGCAGGAAGACGGGGCAAGUAACGGAUAGCUUACGCUGUGCCGGCGCGGUAGUAGUGUAGUACGAAGAGAGGGGGAGAGAGGGACAAGAAAGGAAUGGGUUCCCACGGGGGGUACCCGUGGGCUCGGUUCUCCGUGCGGGCGCGCGAUCCUUGCCGUCCGAUUGGUCGGACCGGCCGGGCCGCGGCCGUCGAUCAGAUGCUUUCGCGGGGGGCCGCGCCGCGGGUACGGAGCGGCAAGUGCUUUCCGCCGUUCCGCGGGAGAGGAAUCGCGGGAAACUGUGACAGUACGCGCCAUUAUCCCGCGGGACCCACCGCCUGACGGGUGGGACCCACGCGGGGUGCAUGUCAUGAUCGAAGUGUUUCCGGAGUUUCCAGGGAAAACACGUUGGCACCGAUCCAUCGAAUACUGCGUUUCAAUGGUAAGUGAUUUACUGCUUGAUUUGGGACAAAGAUAUGAUCUGUUUUUUCCCAUGCGAAUUAAAGAACAUUUAUUGGAGCGUUGUCUCGGUGAAGGUAUUUUUAGGAGGAAAGCUUUGGUGGGCGGAUCGUCUCGUGUGUUUCCUUGUGUCACGUCACUUACGAGGAGCCUCCUACUAUUUUGUUCGAGCUUUGAAGUCCAUUGACAAUUUGUUGCCGAAAUGCGGUUCUCACCGGAUUAAUUAACAAACCAUCAUGGCAUUCCAACGUGUGCGGCCAGGAUGAUUUGGUCACCUUCCCAUUAGGGCAAUGAUCGGCUGUAAAGUGGGGCGGGAACUUAACAAAGUGAAACUUCUCCUCCAGCAGAAAAUGGCAACGGACGAAGAGAAGUGCUGCACACGGAGGCACUAGGCCUAUCACCGGAGGUAUGGACAAACACACUCUUAUUCAUACCUAAAUUUAAAUAUAUAUUAUCUAAUUCUCAUCAUCUCUAUUCUCACCCAUAUCCAAUGGAUAAUUUAGAUACUACCCUCUCCAUUUUUAAUAGAUAAUUAUAUUUCUACUCGUACUCUUCCCAUUUGAAAUGGGUGUGAAUUUGGGAUGAAGUUGUGCAUUGCACCGAACCAAACACAAGAGAGAGGAGCCUCCGUUUCCCCGUAACUUUUUGCAGCACCCACCGUGCAAAAUUCAUUUUUCAGAUCUUCUCCGUACGUACGAGGGUCUAGUUGGGUUCCGUGGAUCGUCCGCAAGAGAACGUGCCAGCCAAACGACUGACGCCCGAGGACCCCGUCCCUUUCGCCUCGCCGAGUCCGAAACUGCCGCCGUGCCCACGCAAUGGUGCACGCGCGCGCGGGCGCGACAAGUGUCGCCGCCCCCCGCGUGCUAAGCGUGGAAGCUGCCAAAGCGAAAGCCAAACCCCCGGGAGGGAGGGGUGGCUCACGUGCGGGCGGCGUGGCGCGCGCGAGACGUCAGCCACGUCCGCGCCGGGCCGGUCGGAGCCGUCGGGCGCCAGCAGCGGUCGGCGGGUGGACGAGGAGGGGAGGGCGACGCCUCGCGUCCCGGUCGGCCGGUCGGUGGGUCGAGCGGGGGCGGGACGAGACGACGCGGCACCACGUCGGCGGCGGCCGCCGGACGCAAGCGACAAAAGCGAAAGAAGCGCCUCUCGGAAGCGGCAACGCGCAGCGCUGAUUCUCUCGCGCCGACUUCGCCUGCGCCUGCUGACGCGUGGGCCGGCCUCGAUCGCGUCCGGUGACGAGGCUUAGGAGACACUCCGCAUCAUGGUUCGUGGAUGCACGCCUUGUGCGGAGCGAUCUGGAUUCAGACGAAAACGAAGUAUCAGCACACGUAUCAUGCAAGUUAGCCACACCAUCUACAGCGGGCGAUGGACACGAUGAGUCGACGAGACCAUGACGCAGUUGAUGGAUGGGAUCUCGCCACUUGCCCACUUCUGAUCCUCGCCGUCGCUCGCCGGAAAUAUCUUAAACCUCUGUUCUCACCUCGAGCUGGUAAUUGUCAGCUGAAAAAUAAAUGUCCUCACUGAGGAAGAAUAAAGAGAGCCGAGUCCACCACACGUGCGCGACUUGCAGUUGGUCCAGCGUAGCUCGUGGUCUUCGAUGGAGACUCCUCGGACAGAUCGUGCCUAGCUAGUGCCUGCGGCCUACCCAGGCCAUGAACGUCCGAGCCGAGCCCCCGUAAAGUCUAAAGUAUCGAGCCGGUACUUAGCCAUUUUCCGAUAAGUUCACCUUCAAAUUCCAACUUUAUUACUAUGCAAAAAGAAGAUUCUCCAUCACAUCAAACUUACGGUACAUGCAUGGAGUAUUAAAUGUAGACGAAAUUAAAAACUAAUUGCACAGUUUUGUUGUACUUUGCGAGACAAAUCUUUUGAGCCUAAUUAAUCAAUGUUUGGACAAUAAUUCACAAAUACAAACGAAACGCUACAGGGUGCUACAGUGCUAGUACAGUGAUUUUGGCACUCCAAAAUUAGGCAACUAAACAUGCCGAUGCACAAGCAGCUGCAGCUGCAUAAAGGCUAAAGGUCCACAGCCUAGUCUCAAAUGCCUCACUUAGCUGCUGCAGCAAUCUCAACCGAACAGAUCCUCCAACCGAACCGAUCCGGCGCUUUCCGACGCCGGUCAGUAGAUUAGAUGCAGCCGACGAGACCUGGAGGCCGGCCUAGUGCAGGGCCCACUCGUUUCCGUAACUAGCGACUGCUAAUUCACUGGGUGGAUUUUAGUUACCGUCGGUAUUUCUCGUGUUGGUAAGAAAAGAUAGAUGAUCUGGACGCGACCCAAUGGUCUUCUCUCUUGCAGACUACAAAAGCAGCCUUUUGCUUUGGAACAAAUGAAGACCUCAUUUGGGAUCAAUGCGUGAGCCUUCGUAGAAAUUCUGCAGAAACCAUACUUUCUCUGGUGGUGCAAACAGUUUAGCUUCGUAGAAUAGCUGCUGGAAUUCUGCUUAGAUUCUGGUGUGGCAGCAGCAGCCUCCUCCGAAACUUGACCAUCGAUGAUCAGUGCUAAUUCGUGCCCACUUCAUGGGAGUCUUAGGACCUGUUUGGAUACAUCCUCAUAAAUUUAACUUUAGGACACUCAUAAAGUUUAGGAGCUAGAAAUUGGUAGUCCUAAAAUUUAUGAGUGGGCUGUUUGGAUAGAAUCAUAAUCUUUAGGAUGUUAGAGGAGAAAUGACUUUUGUACCCCUAAUUACUCCACCCCUGCUCUGUUUCUAGCGCCGUGGAGAGAGAAGGGGAGGGGCAACAGGGGUAAAGGAUGGGUUGGGGACCACUUUUAGGAGAAAAAUGACCCAUUAUGAUGGUUUAGUCCUCCUAAUGAAAACAACACUCCUAAACAUUAUGAAUGAACUUUUAUGACAUAUGUUUGGAUGCACAAGUCUUAAAAGUGGACUAAAAGUGAAGUCCUAAAAAUUAUGAGUGUGUAUCCAAACAGGUCCUUAACUAACUAUCCCCGCUCGAUUCCAGCUGUUUCGUUGUUGACGAAUGUCCACCCCCAGCCCAUUACGUUCUGACAGAAAAAUGUGAUGCCUCCGUCACGACGAGCACCAUUUGGUUGGCUGCCAAAAUUUUAGCAUGCCAAGUUUUGGCAAACCAGCCUUUUUGACACUAUUUGGUUUGGUACCAAAUUUUACCAAUAUCUUCCAUCUAUUCUACCAAAACUUUGGCAAGUUUUCUGCUCACCUUUUGGCUUGCCAAAAUUUUGGCAUCAAACCAAAUCAGUCCUAGUUCUAUGUUCUCUCACCAUUUUGGCUUGAUAUGGCCUGCGUCACUCCUGUGGAGGCUUGGAUCCUUUUUUAAAGAGUUUAAAUCCAUCGCAUAAUGAGAUGGAAGAUCUUGUUCACAACGUAAACUUGUGUUGCCUGCACUGCACCCCUGAUGAAGACAACAUUUUAGUUUGGCGGUAUAUCGGUAUACUACGAUGACCAAUUAUCUGCAAUUAUGCAUCCUUUAAUUUAUGUUAAAGGAUGCCAAACAGAUGACCAUUUUGUAUCCGGCUGAGUAUUCAUGUUUUCAAUUUUACAUCUUCCUAACUUUAAAAGUGUAUUUGGUUGGGUUGUGACUUUUGGAAAAACUACUGUGAGCUGUGUGCUGUAGAAAAGCAGCUGUGAGAAAAGCAGCUGUGGAAAAAGCAUAAGUUCGUUUGGUUAGAGCAGCUGUGGCUUUUGAAUAAACUGUCGAGUAGACCCUACAUGUCAUCCAAUCCACCCCACUCAACUCUCUCCCUCUCGCACUGACGAGCCCCUUCCUUUUCCUCCCGUUGGCCGGUCCACCCCACGGCAGAGCCCACGCCAGGCGACGGCUACUUCUCCCCGGCGACGCUCUUCCUCUUGCUCAACAUGGUCAUCAGCACCAUCGCGCUCACCUCCCGCUCCUACCGCCGCCGCCACCACCACCUCGACGAUCACUACCAGCAGCACUACGGCAGCGAUCAGGACCAGCAAGAUCCUCCACCGCCUCUGGCGCUGCUUGUGCGCACGUCGUCGGUCAUGGAGCGUUUGCACUCCCUCAGCCUCUACCGCUUCCGCUCCGGUCCACUGGGGUAGACGACGGCACCAGCGGCACGCGGGAGGCACAGGUCCAGUACGCAUGGUGGCGGCGGAGCAACGGGGCUCGGGCUCAGCGGCUUCUCUCACGCGACAGAAAACGAAGAAAAAAUAAAAGAACGAACGGUAUUGUUGGCGCUAGAAAUCGGUCAACCGAAUCCCAGCGACCGACACACGACCCGGGAGAAUCUGCUUAGCUCCUGUUCGGGUGAAUGCCCUGGUGCGGUUCGCGCGGCGUGCCAGCCAAUCUGACCUGUUGAUUGGCAAGGAAGAACACGUAUCAAAUUCAGUAACCACGAUCGGCUAAGUUUCCGAUCGAGAGAGCUUAUCGGCAAAUCGGCCGAUUUACUGUGAUGAUGAAAUCGGUUAUAAGACAACACGAUCCCUGUAGCUUUGUAGACAGAAAAAUACUAAAGUAAUCGGUACAAAACACGUAAUAACAGCACUAGGAAAAGAUCUAAUCGGCAACGAAUGGAUCUAACAACAGAAAGUAAUGAAAGCCGAUACUACCGAUUCCUAGCGAGAUAACUGGUGAUAAAAACUAGGAAAACAGGUAAAAACCUAUGAAUCUAGUUGAUAUCGAUAACUGAUGAAUAAAUCUAAACGAAACAACAGCGAUGCGCCGGAAGUCAAAGCUUAGAUAUUACUCGAUAAACGGAACUUACAGAAUCGGUCGGAGAUCAAGAUGAUGCAGCCCUGCCAACCCGCACGAACUCGUGAGAAGGAAAAGUGACGGCGAAGUCGCCUGCUCGAAAGUAAGUACGAAGAAUAAAGUAACUUGUUGUAUUGAUUGAUUGUUAUGUUUACAGAUUUACAAAGGUAGCUAUUUAUAGCCCCGUACAGAUAACUUCCUAACCGACUAGAAUUCUAUCUCUUAUUCAAACAGAAAACAAAUAUCUACAAGCACAAUUCGUAUUAGGUUAGAUACCCCACGCUUCGUGGGCUGACCUCCACCUUAUCCUUCCAUCCUUUUCCAAGCCCAUACAGGCCCAAUUAGUUCAUCCUCCUGAUCGGCCGAUUUCUCAUCGGCAAAGGAUUACCGAUUGGGAAUCUGGCGUAUUCUCCCUGAAGCGAAGCAAAAGCUGCCAGCCGAUUCCUCACUAUAGCACCAUCUGACCGAUUCCUAACUGCACUUCCUCGACUUCCUUUCCCCUUGGCGCCGAUUCUACUGAUGACGAAAUCCGGCGUCAACACAUGCCCCCUAGUUUCGGAGUAAAACACAGUCUUUUACUUCGAAAUUCUUUAUAACCUCCCCUCCGAAACGGCCGCAGUGAAAAUAUCCUUCCGUUUCGUAGUCUCCCGGCUGAUCAUUGCAAUUUUUGAAACGGGCGCCCACGACAGCCACUACCCCGAAAAACUCGACGCGCCGGCGCGGUGAAAAUUCCAUUUUUACCCUUUCUUCAGGCACCCUAUAAAUAACAUUUUACCGCAGCUCAUCUUCAAGCUCACGUCUCUUUUUCCAACGCGCGCACCUCCUUCUUUCUUCAAUCUUGCCAUCGAAGUCUUCCAGUUCCAGCUCCUGUCACUUCUUCCCCUUCCCUUCAAUGGCGACUCCUUCCGGCAGUUCUCCUGCACGCGAUACCCCAGAGGUAGCACCUCCGGUAACGGUGGCGACAACCGUCACUCCAUCCACAGAUGAAGGAGCUUCAUCAGAGAUCCCAAUGGCGAUCCCCAUUGCGACUCCAUCAUCCGCAUCUGCAUCGGCGACCACACCGAUUACUCAGAAUUUUAUACCGGAGGUAAAUACCGAAUCUUUCCUCUAUCGGUAACGUAUUUAUCUUAGAUCUACUCCUUAUAUUCUUAUGCCCCUUUUCCUUUUUUAGGCGGUUAGACAUAGAAUUACUAUUCAUCUCACGGGUAGUCCUGGCCUUGUUUGCCUUGGUCCCAUGGGAGACCCAGAUCCAGCAGACCUCAUAAACUUAGAAACUGACCGGAUACCUUUCAAACGAUCUGAUAUGAACUUAGAUCAAUGGGCCAGCACUUUUAGAUCUUGGCCGAAUGAAACCCCAGGUUGGAGGGAAUGGUACCAACGGGUGGCCGCGUCAAGGAGCGUCUCGUGGGAUGAGCUCAAAAUCGGCCAAUGUAUCAACCUUUCCCUGUCGCAAAUGGAGAAAAACGAACCGCUAGUGAUGGCGGCUUCCUAUUUUUGGUCUGACGCACUUAAUGCGUUCUUAUUUGGACACGGUCCUAUGACCCCCACUCUGGCCGAUGUGGUCCUCUUGACCGGCCUGGACAUAUCCUCCCCUGACACACCUUUCCAACUUCUGACCGUACCGUCGCAUCGGCUGGACACAAGAGGAAUCGGCGGCUGGAAGGGCUUUAUCAAUAGUAACAAGAAGACCGGUACUGUUGAUAACAGGGAACACACCGCUUUCCUGAUGAUGUGGCUAGAAAAACACCUUUUCUGUGGAAGAGCCGCCGGCCCAACAACCAACACCCAAUCUUUAGCUGAAGCACUGUCUAAAGGAAACCAUAUUCCUCUUGGAAAACAUCUUCUGGGAGCCGUGUACCAUAUGCUCCAUCAAAUCGGCACAAAACUUUCCAAGGGAGAACCAAUCGGCAACCCAGGUGGACCUUGGUGGUUCGUCAAUCUAUGGUUGAACCUUUAUAUGAACAGAAUCACCCGGCAACCAGUGGACCAUAUGACGUUUCCCAAUAUCGAAUCGGCGGAGGACCCUACCGAGCGUCGCCGAUGCAUGUCUUAUGGUGAAGCAGCAUCAGCUUUUCCAGGUUGUGCGUAUUCCGCUACAAAGGUAGCCGAGUACUUUCGGUGCUUUUACAAUGGAUUUAAUGAGGACGCAACUAUCUGGUUCCCAUACCAGCGAGACAUUCCAGUCUUCGAGCUCCCCUCCUGCUUCGAUUCAACUUCUGGCCAGUUUGAUGAAGAUCUCUAUGAAGGGUUGAUCAAGCCGUGGCUCCUACCGGCCAACUUCUUCUCAGGGAAGGAUGCCCCUACAUACGAAUUCUACAACCCUUCCGCUGCAGCACGACAAUUCGGCAUGGGUCAGUUGCCGAUUCAGGUGUACUUUGCUGGCAAAAUCAAGUUUAGAGAUGAGCUCACAUCUGGCCUGGAUUACGGUCGGUUGCGAGACCGAAUUCCAGACUCCAGUACAAUUAACUUGAACGACUGGCUAGUAGCUCCAUUUGCUGUCCAGCCGUUCAAACUCUGGUGGGCCGAUUGGAAGCAAUUCCUCUUCUGCAACUCAGCAUCGGCAUACUGCAAUCUUCUGGACCCGACCAACAUUGACCCAAACGCCGAGGUACUUCACAUAGCCGAUUUUUAUUCCCUUUUAUUCCUCUUAACAUGAUCGAGUACUAAUGAUUUUAUUAUUUUAGGCCGAGAAUCGGACCCCUCCAACACACAGCCGCAGCGGACGACUAAUAGAGAGUCAUCCAUACACUACUUAUCCCCUUAUCGGCUAUAACGCCCCGUCUGUUGACGUGAUUACUGGCCGAUCGAAACAAGUUCAUAAAAGGACCACUAAGAAGACCAGUCGCCGAGUCCGGGCUCGUACGGGAUCGGCGGAUCCUCCUGUGCGCGUAUCGGCAGAAACUUCGGCCGCACCACCUUCUCAGGUCAUUCAAGGUGCCGAUACUCAAACCAUGACGCAAGCUGGGGCGGCCGCCGCAUCGUUGUUGUUGGAGGCCAUACAAGUAAAACUGAGUCGCACUGCCUCCGAUUAUUAUUUUGAUAUUAACUUUUCUUUAACCUUAAACUGCACAGAACAUCCCUACAGAACCACAAUCGGCAGCAGCCCCUCCAGCUAUUGACGCGCCCCCAUUUCCUUCCGUUAAGGUAUAGAACUUUUCGUACCGAUUUCCUUUGGGCAUUCACGUAACGUGUUUAUUCAAACCUCUGACACAGGCCAUCGGCACAUCAAUCGCUCCUCGAUCGCCGAUUCCUUUUCAGGGGGCUGGUCCAAACACUGCGCCGAUUAUCGUGGAGUCCUCUUCAUCUGAUGAACCCAUGGCGCAGGCCCCCGAGCGAGGCAUGGCGGCUUCUCAAGUGCAACAUGAGGAGAUUCGCUUCAAAAUGGUAAUUUUCUAUUUCGGCUUCUAUCUUAGCCGAUUUGCUCUUACUUACAGCUGGUUUAUUUCUUUUCUUUAUUAUCUUCAGGAACAGGAUACCCCCGACAACAGCCUCUUUUCUUUUGCGGUCGCCCUCUCUGACGAUGAAGAAGUUGCUUCUCGCCAAGUCGCCUUGAGUUCCGUUCCUGAUGACGUUCGAGCCAAACUUUCCAGCAUCCGAUCCCUCCUUCAAGGGGACAUCGGCCGAUUAGUAGAAGACGCUUCACCGAUUCGGCAGCUCUUCAAUGACGUCAGCGGACGAGUACCAGAAGAGGCGGAGGAGGCCCUGGCGCCGGCGGCCUUCAUCGAGUCUAUGAGGAUCCCGGUCUUCAGAGCCCUUCGUCACAUGGCCGAUCGCGCCAAGCUGACCAAGGCUCGCGAAGAGGAAGACGCUUUCAAGCGUCAGGCUCAAGAGGCGAAUCGGCGUAUCCAUGUUCUAGAAGAUUCCCGCCCGGCGAUCAUAGGUGAGAUAGACCGUCUCAAGCGUCGGAGGGCGGAGCUUGCCAAGGAAAUGGAGCAAGUGACCAAGGCAAUCAGUGCCGAAGAGAACAAACUCCAAGAGCUACCCUCUGUUAUUGCCGAUUUAACACGGGAGAGGCAACGCUUUGCUCACGAGGCACUGAGACUCCAUCGCAGCGCAUCGGAGGUUCCUGGAUCGGCGGAAGAAGACCAACGGGUUCUUGACUCUGCCGAUCAGAUCCGGCGUCGGGCCAUCACGGCUAUCGAUACCCUUCUGGGUAAUCUGUGAAACACUGACCGUUUUGUACGAAUCAUUUACUAUCUUCUUUGACCGCCCCUCGCGACGCCCUUUCUAUUUAUUGCCUUCUUAUUACCGAUGGGACGUAGCUUUACCAGAUUUCCACGCAUUCUUUUAUAAAUACCAACCUCGGCACUUACUCCUGGUAGCACCAAUCUUGGCUCUCGGUUUAACUUCUCUGCCCCUUCUCAUCGGCGCAAUUUCUUUGCCAUGGCCUCGUCGUCUUCUUCUUCCUCUGUUAACCAGGUGAAGUCUUUGACCUCUACCUUCCCUUCUUUUUUAGACCCUAAGGAAGAGAAUAUCCCCCCUCAUUCCUUCUUUGUUUCAGCCUCAACGUCUUAGCCCCGAGCUCGUGCGCGCCAUUGAGUGCAUUCAUUCCGAAGAUCCAUUAACGUCGGAGGACAAGAUGCUGAUCGUGGCUCACCGAGAGGAGCUCCAGAACCACAUUACCACGGAGGCUCGCGUAGUCUUGGAUUCCGUGGUGAGUGAAAGUAACCGUCAAUCUCCACCCGUCAGGAGCCAUCGUCGUGGCGAUCUUGAAGACGACAUCGCCACGACGGCCCGAACGAUCCUGGACUUCGUGGAGAGAAACGGCAGCCGGCGACCUCCCAUCGACAGGAGUAAUCCACUCCCUCGGCAAGUCGUUCUUGAAGACGCGGGAGCGGGGACUUCGCGCCCUCCCGUAGAUCUCCCCCGUCAAGUCGAAGCGGAGAUUUCAAUGAAGGCCAUAGAAGAAGAAUACCUCCGACUCAUGAUAGAGUUAGGUCGGGCUGAGAGGGAGCGUAAGAAAAAGAAUAAUUAGUUGCUGUAUUUUUUGUUCUAAGGGCGACUAAACAUUUUGUCGGCCAUGUGACCCGUCGCCCGUACCGAAUGAAUGUAAUCGGCCGUUCCGGUCGACUUUAUGUGCGUCUCAAAACCGAAUCGUAUCGGUCAUGUAUGAUCGUGUUGAUUCCUUAGGCACCGACCCAUAUACUUGGGUAAUAUCUUUUUAAGUACCUCCCAUUCAGAGCUCUAGUGAAUUCUUCUCCUUCUAUUGUUUCCAAGAUAUAGGCAUUCCCUGGAGUGCAUUUGCCGAUUUUAUACGGCCCUUCCCAGGUAGGAGACCAUUUGCCGAAUUUAGGAUCUUUCGACCCGAUCGGUAGUACCAACUUCCAUACCAAAUCUCCGGGGGAGAACUGCUUGACUUUGACCUUUUUAUCGUACCACCUGGCCACUCUCUUUUUAUUCUCUUCGAUACUUAUCAGAGCCCUUAGUCGUUGGCCGGCCAAAUCAUCAAGUUCUUCCUUCAUCAGAGAUGAGUAGUCAUUGGCUGACAACCGGUCCUGAAGUAAAAUGCGCCUUGAUCCUGCCCUUGACUCCCAUGGAAGUACUGCAUCGUGACCGUAUACCAACUGAUAGGGAGAUAACUUAGUAGCUCCAUGACAGGCCAUUCUGUACGCCCACAGGGCUUCGGUCAAGCAUAGGUGCCACUUCUUCGGGUAUUCUUCAAUCUUCCUUUUGAUCAACUUGAUUAUUCCUUUGUUGGAAGAUUCUGCUUGACCAUUGGCUUGAGCGUAAUACGGAGAAGAGUUUAACAAUUUGAUGCCCAUAUUGGUCGUAAAUUUCUCAAAUUCCCCCGACGUGAACAUUGUUCCUUGAUCGGUCGUUAUAGUUUGAGGGAUACCGAAUCGGUAGACGAUAUGAUUCCUUACGAAAUCGGCCAUGAUACCCGAAGUCACAGUCCUUAGUGGGAUUGCCUCCACCCAUUUGGUGAAGUAAUCAGUAGCAACCAAAAUAAACUUGUGCCCCUUGCUCGAUGGUGGAUAAAUUUGGCCGAUAAGGUCUAUUCCCCAUCCUCUGAACGGCCAUGGUUUGAUGAUGGGAUUCAUGGCCGACGCGGGUGCACGCUGGACAUUUCCAAACUUUUGACACUCCUGACAACCCUUAUAAUAUUUGAAACAAUCUUCGAGGAUCGUAGGCCAAUAGUACCCGUUGUUUCGGAUCAUCCAUUUCAUCUUAUGUGCUGAUUGGUGAGCUCCGCAUACCCCUUCAUGGAUUUCUCCCAUUAGAGUCUUGGCUUCUUCUGUCCCAAGGCAUUUAAGAAGAACACCGUCGAUCGUUCGGUAGAAUAGAUCAUCUUCGAGCAAUACGUACUUGGUAGCGUGAAAGCGCACUCGUCGCUCCACCUUUUUAGACGGAUCCUUCAGGUAAUCAGCAAUUUCUUUACGCCAAUCGUCAGCUGCAAGCUCUAAGGCCAUGGCGCCCGGAAUCGGCCGAUACCCAGAUGCAUGUUGAGCGAGUCUGUUUGCUUCCUCGUUGCGGUCUCUUGGGACGUGCUCGAUUGUUGCCGAUCUGAAUUCUUUCAAAAGCUGUAAGCAAUCUUCGUGAUGAAUUCGUAAUAUGUCAUCUUUGCACUCAGCCCUUCCGGUUAGUUGAUCCACAAUUAGCAUCGAAUCUCCGAAGACCUCAACAGAAUCGGCCUUGACUUCCCUCAAUAAUCGUAAGCCUUUUAAUACGGCUCCGUACUCUGCUUGAUUGUUUGUGGCGGCGGUUUCUAUCGGCAAAGAAAAAUCAUAUCUUGCCCCCCGAGGCGAUAUGAGAACGAUGCCGAUUCCUGAUCCGACUCCGCAUGAUGACCCAUCAAAAAAUAACUGCCAAGGCGCUAGUUCCACGAAGGCGAUCUCCGGCCCACAGUGCUGGGCGACGAAAUCGGCCAUGACUUGACCCUUGACGGCUUUUGCCGAUUCAUACCGUAGGUCAAAUUCCGAUAAAGCCAAGAUCCAUUUACCGAUUCGUCCUUUCAAUAUCGGCAGUGACAGCAUGUAUUUCACUACAUCAUCUUUGCAUACGACUAUACAUUCUGCCGAGAGUAGAUAGUGCCUGAGUUUGGUGCACGAGAAGUAAAGACACAAACACAAACGCUCCACUGGAGGAUAUCUUGUUUCGGCAUCCAGGAGUCUUCUACUAACGUAAUAAAUUACCCGUUCUUUGCCUUCAAACUCUUGGACUAGAGCCGAUCCAAUAGCUUUUUCAUCGGCUGAUAAAUAUAGUUUAAACGGCUUACCCGUUUGAGGGGGAACCAGGACUGGGGGUGAGACCAAGUAUCGCUUGAUGUCCUCUAACGCCUUGCGCUGUUCUUCUCCCCAUAUAAAUUCCUGGUCUGGCUUCAACUUCAGAAGUGGUGUGAACGCCUGAAUCCGUCCGGAUAGAUUAGAUAUAAACCUUCUGAUAAAGUUUACCUUGCCGAUUAGAGACUGUAGCUCAGUUUUGUUCUGUGGAGCGACGACUUUGUUGAUGGCCGCUAUGGUCUUCUAAUUGACUUCUAUACCUCGUUCGUGCACCAUGAAUCCUAAGAACUGUCCGGCGGAUACGCCGAAAGCGCAUUUGUUGGGAUUCAUCUUGAGACCAUGCUUUUUGGUACACUCUAGCACCUGUCGCAAAUCGGCUAGGUGUUCCUCGUGGCUUUUGGACUUGAUCACAACGUCAUCGAUGUAGAUCUCCACCAGGAGGCUAAUGAGUUUGUGAAAAAUAUAGUUCAUGGCUCUCUGAUAUGUAGCACCAGCAUUCUUCAAGCCAAAAGUCAUCACCACCCACUCGAAUAGACCAAGAUGGCCUGGACACCUGAAAGCCGUUUUGGGUAUGUCCUCUUCGGCCAUAAGUAUUUGAUUGUAUCCGGCAUUUCCAUCCAUGAAGCUAAUAAUUUUGUGUCCCGCGGCAGCGUCGAUUAAUACAUCGACCGUAGGCAUGGGGUAGCCAUCCAUCGGUGUGGCCUGAUUAAGAUUCCUGAAAUCGACGCAAACGCGUAGCUUCCCGUUUUUCUUGUACACCGGUACGAUAUUAGAAAUCCACUCGGCAUAACGACAUUGCCGAAUAAAUUUUGCUUCAAUUAGCCGAGUUAUUUCAGCUUUUAUGUCUGGUAAAAUUUUAGGAUUGCAUCGCCGUGCGGGUUGUUGGUACGGCCGAUAUCCUGGCUUUAUGGGUAGCCGAUGUUCAACAAUAGACCGAUCUAACCCGGGCAUCUCGUGAUACUUCUGUUGGCGUUUAGAAAUCGGUCAACCGAAUCCCAGCGGCCGAUACACGACCCGGGAGAAUCUGCUUAGCUCCUGUUCGGGUGAAUGCCCUGGUGCGGUUCGCGCGGCGUGCCAGCCAAUCUGACCUGUUGAUUGGCAAGGAAGAACGCGUGUCAAAUUCAGAAACUACGAUCGGCUAAGUUUCCGAUCGAAAGAGCUUAUCGGCAAAUCGGCCGAUCCGCUGUGAUAAUGAAAUCGGCUACAAGACAGCACGAUCCCUGUAGCCUUGUAGACAGAAAAAUACUAAAGUGAUCGGUACAAAGCUUAUAAUAACAGCACUAGGAAAAGAUCUAAUCGGCAAAGCCGAUACUACCGAUUCCUAGCGGGAUAACUGGUGAUAAAACUUAGGAAAACAGGUGAAAACCUAUUAAUCUAGUUGAUAUCGAUAACUAAUGAAUAAAUCUAAACGAAACAACAGCGAUGCGCCGGGAGUUAAAGCUUAGAUAUUACUCGAUAAGCGGAACUUACAGAAUCGGCCGGAGAUCAAGGUGAUGCAGCCCUGCCAACCCGCACGAACUCGUGAGAAGAAAAAGUAAUGGCGAAGUCGCCUGCUUGAAAGUAAAUACGAAGAGGAAAGUAACUUGUUGUAUUGAUUGGUUGAUGUUUACAGAUUUACAAAGGUAGCUAUUUAUAGCCCUGUUCAGAUAACUUCUUAACCGACUAGAAUUCUAUCCCUAAUUCAAACAGAAAACAAAUAUCUAAUAAGCACGAUUCGUGCUAGGUUGGUUAUUCCACGCUUCAUGGGCUGACUUCCACCUCAUCCUUCCAAGCCCAUACAGGCCCAAUUAAUACACCCUCCUAAUCGGCCGAUUUCUCAUCGGCAAAGGAUUGCCGAUUGGGAGUCUGGCGCAUUCUCCCUGAAGCGAAGUAAAAGCUGCCGAUCGAUUCUGCAUUAUAGCACCAUUUGACCGAUUCCCAACUGUACUGCUUCGACUUCUUUUCUCCUUGGCGCCGAUUCUACUGAUGACGAAAUCCGGCGUCAACACAUGCAUCCACAUCGGCGACCACGCCAAUUACCCAGAACUUUAUCCCGGAGGUAAAUACCGAAUCCUUCCCCUAUCGGUAAUAUAUUUAUCUUAGAUCUACUCCUCACAUUCCUAUGCCCCUUUUCCCUUUUUUUUUUAGGCGGUUAGACAUAGAAUUACUAUUCAUCUCACGGGCAGUCCUGGCCUCGUUUGCCUUGGUCCCAUGGGAGACCCAGAUCCGGCGGAUCUUAUAGAUUUGGAAACUGACCGGAUACCUUUCAAACGAUCUGAUAUGAACUUAGAUCAAUGGGCAAGCACUUUUAGAUCUUGGCCGAAUGAAACCCCAGGUUGGAGGGAAUGGUACCAACGGGUGGCUGCAUCAAAGAGCGUCUCGUGGGACGAGCUCAAAAUCGGCCAAUGUAUCAACCUUUCCCUGUCUCAAAUGGAGAAGAACGAGCCGUUAGUGAUGGCGGCUUCCUAUUUUUGGUCUGACGCACUUAAUGCGUUCCUAUUUGGACACGGUCCUAUGACCCCCACUCUGGCCGAUGUGGUCCUCUUGACCGGCCUGGACAUAUCUUCCCCUGACAAACCUUUCCAGCUUUUGACCGUACCGUCGCAUCGGCUGGACACAAGAGGAAUCGGCGGCUGGAAGGGCUUUAUCAAUAGUAACAAGAAGACCGGUACUGUUGAGAACAGGGAACGCACCGCUUUCCCGAUGAUGUGGCUAGAAAAACACCUUUUCUGUGGAAGGGCCGCCGGCCCAACAACCAAUACCCAAUCUUUAGCUGAAGCGUUGUCUAGAGGAAACCAUAUUCCUCUCGGGAAACAUCUUUUGGGUGCCGUGUACCAUAUGCUCCAUCAAAUCGGCACAAAACUUUCCAAGGGAGAACCAAUCGGCAACCCAGGUAGGCCUUGGUGGUUUGUCAAUCUAUGGUUGAACCUUUAUAUGAACAGAAUCACCCGGCAACCAGUGGACCAUAUGAUGUUUCCCAAUAUUGAAUCGGCGGAAGACCCUACCGAGCGGCGCCGAUGUAUGUCUUAUGGUGAAGCAGCGUCAGCUUUUCCAGGUUGUGCGUAUUCCGCUACAAAGGUAGCCGAGUACUUUCGGUGCUUUUAUAAUGGAUUUAAUGAGGAUGCAACUAUCUGGUUUCCAUACCAGCGAGAUAUUCCAGUUUUCGAGCUCCCCUCCUGCUUCGAUUCAACUUUUGGCCGGUUUGAUGAGGAUCUUUAUGAAGAACUGAUCAAACCAGGACUCUUACCGGCUAACUUCUUUUCGGGGAAAGAUGCCCCUACAUACGAAUUCUACAACCCGUCUACUGCCGCACGACAAUUCGGCAUGGGUCAAUUGCCGAUACGGGUGUAUUUUGCUGGCCGAAUUAAGUUCAGAGAAGGACUUAAAACUGGCCUGGAUUAUUGUCGGCUGCAAGACCGAAUUCCGGACUCCAGUACGAUUAACUUGAACAACUGGCUAGUAGCUCCAUUUGCUGUCCAGCCGUUCAAACUCUGGUGGGCCGAAUGGAAACAAUUUCUCUUCUGCAACUCAGCAUCGGCAUACUGCAAUCUUCUGGACCCAGCCAACAUUGACCCAAACGCCGAGGUAUUUCUGAUUACCGAUUUUAUUCUUUUCAACAUAAUUGAGCACUAAUGAUUUCAUUGUUUCUUUAGGCCGAGAAUCAAGCCCCUCCAACGCACAGCCGCAGCGGUCGGUUGAUAGAGAACUACCCGUACACCACUUAUCCUCUUAUCGGCCACGACGCUCCGUCAGUUGACAUGAUUGCUGGCCGAUCGAAGAAGAUUCAUAAGAAGGUCAUCAAGAAAACCAGUCGCCGAGUUCGGGCUCGUACGGAAUCGGCGGACCCUCCUGUGCUCGUACCGGCAGAAACCUUGACUACACCACCCCAGGCUACACAAAGUGCUGAUACUCAAGCCGUCAUACAAGCCGGAGUGGCUGCCGUGUCAUUAUUGUUGGAAGCCAUGCAGGUAAAUCCGAAUUUUGCCAUCUCCAAUUGUUAUUUAAAUAUUAACUUUCCUUAACUCUGUAUUUCCCAGAGCACCGCUACGGAAAUACCACGAUCGGCGACAACUCGACCGGACGCCAACGCACCCUUGCCCUCAUCCAUUGAGGUAUAGUGCCUAUCUUACGGAUUUCCUUCGGGUAUCCGUGUAAUGUACUUAACCGAUUUUUGACGCAGGCCAUCGGCGCACCAAGUGCUUCCCGACAACCGAUUUCUUUCCAGGGAGUCGGUCCGAGCUCCGCGCCGAUUACUGUGGAGUCCUCUUCAUCAGAUGAACCCAUGGCACAGGCCAAUGAGCCAGACACAACGGCUUUACCAGCGCAGCAUGAAGAAAUUCGUUUUAAAAUGGUAAAUUCAUAACCAGCUUUCAACCAGCCGAUUUGCUCUGAUUCCACGCCGAUUCACCCCUUUUCCUUAUCUUCUCAGGAACAAGACUCCCCCAACAACAGCCUCUUCUCCUUUGCGGUUGCUCUUUCUGAUGAUGAGGAAGUCGCGUCCCGUCAAGUCGCUCUAAGCUCCGUUCCUGACGACGUCCGAGCUAAACUUACCAACAUCCGAUCCCUCCUGCAAGGGGACAUCGGCCGAUUGGUAGAAGAUGCUUCGCCGAUUCGGCAGCUAUUCAGUGACGUCAGCGGACGAGUACCAGAGGAAGCGGAAGAGGCCCUGGCACCGGCGGCUUUUAUUGAGUCCAUGAGGAUUCCCGUCUUUAGGGCCCUUCGUCAUAUGGCCGACCGCGCGAAACUGGUCAAGAUUCGUGAAGAUGAAAAUGCCUUUAAGCGUCAGGCUCAAGAAGCGAAUCGGCGUAUCCAUGUUCUAGAAGAUUCACGCCCGGCGAUCAUUAGUGAAAUAGAUCGCCUCAAACGACGGAGGGCGGAACUUGCUAAAGAGAUGGAGCAAGUGACCAAGGCAAUCAGCGCCGAAGAGAACAGACUUCAAGAUUUACCCUCUGCUAUUGCCGAUUUGACACGGGAGAGGCAAAGUUUCGCUCAAGAGGCUCUGAGACUCCACCGCAACGCAUCGGAGGUCCCUGGAUCGGCAGAAGAAGACCAACGGGUUCUUGACUCCGCCGAUCAGAUUCGGCGUCGGGCCAUCGCGGCUAUCGAUACCCUUUUGGGCAGUCUGUAAAACACUGACCGCUUUGUACGAACAUUUACUGCCUUCUUUGACCGACCCUUCGCGAUGCCUUCUAUUUACUGUCUUCCUUAUUACCGAUGGGACGUGGCCUCAUCAGAUUUCCACGUAUUUUUCCCCAUAAAUAUCGACCUCGGCGCCUCUUCUCGAUAGCAUCGAUCUGGCUCCCAUUUCGCCUUUCCUCUUCCUCUCAUCGGCGCGACUACUUCAUCAUGGCUUCAUCGCCAUCCUCUUCUGUCAACCAGGUGAAAUCCCACUUUCUCCUCUUAGAUCUCGGGAACCGAAUGCUUCACCUUAUUCCUUCUUUGUUUUAGCCUCAACGCCUUGGUCCGGAGCUCGUGCGCGCCAUCGAGUGCAUUCAUUCCGAAGACCCGUUGACCCCAGAGGACAAGGCUCUGCUUCUAGCCCAUCGAGAGGAGCUCCAAGACCACAUUACUGCAGAUGCUCGUGUAGUCUUGGAUGCCGUGGUGACCGAAAGUAACCGUCAAUCUCCACCCACCGGGAGCCAUCAUUGUGACGAUCUCGAAGACGACGUCGCCACGGCGGCCCGAACGGUCCUGGACUUCGUGGAGAGGAACGGCAGCCGGCGACCUCCCUCCGACAGGAGUCAUCCACUUCCCCGGCGAGUCGUUCUCGAAGACGCGGGGGCGGGGACCUCGCACCCUCCCGUGGAUCGGAGUCAUUUUCUCCCUCGUCAAGUUGGAGCGGAGAUUUCAAUGAAGGCCAUAGAGGAAGAAUACUUCCGUCUCAUGAUAGAGUUGGGUCGGGCUGAGAGGGAGCGUAAGAAAAAGAAUAAUUAGUUAUUGUAUUUUUUGUUCUAAGGGCGACUAAAUGUUUUGUCGGCCAUGUAACCUGUCGCCCGUACCGAAUGACUGUAAUCGGCCGAUUCGGACGACUAUGUGUUUGAACCGAUUUGCAUCGGCUAUGUGUGGUCACGUCAUGGUUGACUCCUUACGCUCCGACCCAUAUGCUGGGGUAAUAUCUUUUUAAGUACCUUCCGUUCAGAGCCCUAGUAAAUUCUUCUCCUUCUAUUGUUUCCAGAAUGUAAGCAUUCCCCGGAGCGCAUCUGCCGAUUUUGUACGGCCCUUCCCAUGUGGGGGACCAUUUCCCGAAUUUAGGAUCUUUCGACCCAAUCGGCAAUACUAACUUCCAUACCAGGUCCCCAGGGGAGAAUUGCUUGACUUUGACCUUCUUAUCGUACCACCUGGCCACCUUCUUUUUGUUUUCUUCGAUGCUUAUCAGAGCUCUUAAUCGUUGGCCGGCCAAAUCAUCAAGUUCCCUCUUCAUAAGUGACGAGUAGUCAUCGGCCGUUAACUGAUCCUGGAGCGAAAUACGCCUUGAUCCUGCUCUUGAUUCCCACGGUAGUACCGCAUCGUGACCAUACACUAAUUGGUAGGGAGAUAGCUUGGUAGCCCCAUGACAAGCCAUCCGGUAUGCCCAUAAGGCCUCUGUCAAACAUAGAUGCCACUUCUUCGGCUGUUCCUCGACUUUUCUUUUGAUCAAUUUGAUUAUCCCUUUGUUGGAGGAUUCUGCCUGACCAUUGGCUUGGGCGUAGUAUGGAGAAGAAUUUAACAAUUUGAUUCCCAUAUCGGUCGUAAACUCCUCAAAUUCCUCCGAUGUGAACAUUGUUCCUUGAUCGGUUGUUAUGGUCUGAGGGAUACCGAAUCGGUAAACGAUGUGGUCUCUUACGAAGUCGGCCAUGAUAGCUGAUGUCACGGCCCUUAACGGGAUAGCCUCUACCCAUUUGGUAAAGUAAUCGGUAGCCACCAGAAUAAAUUUGUGUCCUUUGCUUGAUGGUGGGUAAAUUUGGCCGAUAAGGUCUAUUCCCCAUCCCCUGAACGGCCAUGGCUUGAUGAUGGGAUUCAUGGCCGAUGCGGGUGCACGUUGAACAUUUCCAAAUUUCUGACACUCCUGACAACCUUUAUAAUAUUUGAAACAAUCUUCAAGGAUUGUGGGCCAAUAGUACCCGUUGUUCCUGAUCAUCCACUUCAUCUUAUGUGCCGAUUGGUGUGCUCCACAUACCCCUUCAUGGAUUUCUCCCAUUAGAGUCUUGGCUUCUUCUGUCCCAAGGCAUUUAAGAAGGACUCCGUCGAUCGUUCGGUAGAACAGAUCAUCUUCGAGCAGUACGUAUUUGGUGGCAUGAAAGCGUACUCGUCGCUCCACCUUUUUAGACGGAUCCUUCAGGUAAUCGGCAAUUUCUUUACGCCAGUCGUCGGUUGCAAGUUCUAAGGCCAUAGCACCUAGAAUCGGCCGAUACCCAGAUGCGUGCUGGGCGAGUUUGUUUGCUUCUCCGUUGCGGUCUCUUGGAAUAUGCUCGAUUACUGCCGAUCUGAAUUCUUUUAAAAGCUGUAGGCAAUCUUCGUGAUAAGUUCUUAAUAUGUCAUCUUUGCACUCAGCCCUUCCGGUUAGUUGAUCCACAAUAAGCAUAGAAUCUCCGAAGAUCUCAACAGAAUCGGCCUUGAUUUCUCUCAAUAGCUCUAAGCCUUUUAAUACGGCUCUGUACUCCGCUUGAUUAUUAGUAGCAGCGAUUUCUAUCGGCAGAGAAAAAUCAUAGCUUGCCCCCCGGGGCGAUAUGAGAACGAUGCCGAUUCCUGAUCCGAUCCCGCAUGAUGACCCGUCGAAAAAUAAUUGCCAAGGCACCAGUUCCACGAGGGCGAUCUCCGGUCCACAGUGCUGGGCGACGAAAUCGGCCAUGACUUGACCCUUGACGGCUUUUGCCGAUUCAUACCGCAGGUCAAAUUCUGAUAAAGCUAAGAUCCAUUUACCGAUUCGUCCUUUUAACAUCGGCAGUGAUAGCAUGUAUUUUACUACGUCAUCUUUGCAUACGGCUACACAUUCUGCCGACAGCAGAUAGUGCCUGAGCUUGGUGCAUGAGAAGUAAAGACACAAACACAAACGCUCCACCGGAGGAUAUCUUGUUUCGGCAUCCAGGAGUCUCCUACUGACGUAAUAAAUGACCCGCUCUUUGCCUUCAAAUUCUUGGACCAGAGCCGACCCAAUAGCUUUUUCAUCGGCUGACAAAUACAGUUUAAACGGCUUACCAGCUUGAGGGGGAACCAAGACUGGGGGCGAGACCAAGUAUCGCUUGAUAUCUUCUAACGCCUUGCGCUGUUCGUUUCCCCAUAUAAAUUCCUGGUCUGGCUUCAACUUUAGAAGUGGCGUGAACGCCUGAAUGCGUCCAGAUAGAUUAGAUAUAAACCUUCUGAUGAAGUUUACCUUGCCGAUUAGAGACUGUAGUUCGGUUUUGUUCUGUGGGGCGAUGACUUUGUUGAUGGCCGCUAUGGUCUUCUGAUUGACUUCUAUACCUCGUUCGUGCACCAUGAAUCCUAAGAACUGUCCGGCGGAGACGCCGAAAGCGCAUUUGUUGGGAUUCAUCUUAAGACCAUGCUUUUUGGUACACUCUAGUACCCUUCGCAAAUCGGCUAGGUGUUCUUCGUGGCUUUUGGACUUGACCACAACGUCAUCAAUGUAGAUCUCCACCAGGAGUCCAAUGAGUUUGUGAAAAAUGUAGUUCAUGGCUCUCUGAUAUGUAGCGCCAGCAUUCUUCAAGCCGAAAGUCAUCACCACCCACUCGAAUAGACCAAGAUGGCCUGGACAUCUGAAAGCCGUUUUGGGUAUGUCCUCUUCGGCCAUAAGUAUUUGAUUGUAUCCGGCGUUUCCAUCCAUGAAGCUAAUAAUUUUGUGUCCCGCGGCAGCGUCGAUCAAUACAUCGGCCGUAGGCAUGGGGUAGCCAUCCAUCGGUGUGGCCUGAUUAAGAUUCCUGAAAUCGACGCAAACGCGUAGCUUCCCGUUUUUCUUGUACACUGGCACGAUAUUAGAAAUCCACUCGGCAUAACGACAUUGCCGAAUAAAUUUUGCUUCAAUUAGCCGAGUUAUUUCAGCUUUUAUGUCUGGUAAAAUUUUAGGAUUGCAUCGCCGUGCGGGUUGUUGGUACGGCCGAUACCCUGGUUUUAUGGGUAGCCGAUGUUCAACAAUAGAUCGAUCUAAUCCGGGCAUCUCGUGAUACUCCCAAGCAAAACAAUCCUUGAAUUCUCUUAAUAAAUUUGUCAAUUUACACUUAUACUCUGGAUCUAAAUUUGCACUAAUAAAAGUCGGCCUUGAUUUGGUCCCGUCACCUAAGUCUAUCAUUUCUAAUGAAUCGGCCGACGUGAAUCCGUGCCCCAGCUUCCCGUCUUCUCGGGCGGACUGAUCCAUCUAUUGCACUUCUUCGGAGCCGACUGCUCGGAUCGGCUGUAGGCCAAAAUCGGUGACCUUCAGGAAGUCGGUUUCCCACACCCUACCUGAUAUGCAUCUGACGGUCUCGCAGCUCCAUUGCUGUGCGUCGGCUGCUGCGAUGCUGUACGCGGAGUCGGCUUUGACCACCUCGAUGUUAUCGCCGACCCAUUGUACGAGGCAUUGAUGCAUAGUUGAUGGGAUGCAGCAGUUUGCGUGUAUCCAGUCUCGGCCAAGAAGCAUAUUAUAGGAUCCUUUGCCAUUAAUGACGAAAAACGUGGUAGGAAGGGUCUUACUGCCGAUGGUGAGGUCGACGCAGAGGGCACCGCGAGCGUUUGACACCUUGCCCUCGAAGUCCUUGAGCAUCAUGUCCGUCCUGGUUAGGUCAUCGUCGCUUUUUCCCAGCUUCCGGAGUACGGCAUACGGCAUGAUAUUGACGGCAGCUCCCCCGUCGACCAUCAAUCUAGUGAGGGGGCGACCGUCAACAUGCCCUUUAAGGAACAAUGCCUUCAUGUGUUGUCGUUCGUCGUCUUCGGGCUUUUCGAACGUGGCCAUCAUUGGUUCUAAAGCCAACCGUGCUGUUUGCUCCUCUAUCGCCGAUACGUCCUGUCGAUCGGCAGGGGUCAUGAACUCCAUCGGCAAUAUGAAAACCAUACCGAUUUCGGCUGCCGAUUCAUCGCCCGCCGACUCAUUGUUUUCCUUGUCGUUUCUUUUGGGGCGCCACACCCGAGGCCUCCCUUCCUUCUUGUCCAUCGCGCUCUCUUCUUCUUGCUGUUCCCACUGGCGGAGGCGUUGGAUUCUCCGUUUUUGUGAUUUGGUUAAACCAUCGGGGCACCAUCUGGGGUUUAUUGGCUUCCCUUCUUUCCCGGCGCGUUCCCAUUCCGGCUCGCGUCCUAACAGGUUCUCGUCCGUUACCCGAGCAUCGGCCAUGUCUUCGAGCCGGCUGUGAACGCUGGCUUUGCUAUUUGACUGAUCGUGUCGAUCGGUCCUGCCCCCCUGCCUAUUAUGGCUUCUGUCUUUUGACCGACCGUAUCGGUCACUUCUGCCCCCCAGCCGAUCACGCAUGGAAGGGCGCUGAUCAUCUGGGUUGCGCCAAUUCCUGCUGAUCGGCUCUGGCCUUCCGUCUCUGGAGCGAGACCUGGUGAACGGCCGAUUGCCUCGAUAGGGACCGUUGCACUCUGGGCACGUAUCGGCCGAUGGUAGCCUGAGGUUAUUUUCCCAACAAUGGAUGAAGAAUGGGCAUCUCCAGUGCUCCUCGUGCCGACGCAUCGCUUCCUCUCGGGACCUUGAACGUUCAUGUUGGCGUUGGUACUUUUGGAGCAGGAACUGGGAAGUAAUACGUGGCCCUUCUGACUCACCAUCAUCGUCUUCCAUUCGUCGCUUUCCCUUGACGUCUUCAGACGUAACUUGAUUUCUGGGGUCGACAGCGCCACUCUUUUUGGCCGACUCGGACGUCAGCACCUUUGUUUGUAGGGAAUUCUUUCCCGUGUCAGCCAUGUUGGUAGGAAAAGGGUGCUGGUCGAUCUUCAUUGGUUUGGCCGGUUUUGUCGGCACUUCAAAUUUGAGUCUGCCUUGCUCAAUGGCUGACUGUAUUUGUUGCCUGAAGAUUUUGCACUCGUUGGUAUCAUGUGAUGUGGCAUUGUGCCACUUGCAAUACUUCAUCUUCUUCAAUUGUUCGGCAGAGGGUAUUGUAUGGUAAGGCGAGAGUUUAAUCUGCCCUUCCUGGAGUAGAAGAUCGAAGAUUUUGUCCGCUUUAGUUGUAUCGAAGCCAAAUGCCUCUGGCUCCUUCUUGCCGAAUGGGCAUGAUAUUGGCUUCUUCCCCUUAAUCCACUCUGCAAGUCCGAUUUCAGCAUCUUCCUCGUCCUCUAAUUCUUCCAGGAAUGCCACUUUCUUCUGGAAAUUCCUUCUUGGAUCGAACGGACGCACUUCCUGCCCGGACAAUCGGUGGACAAUCUGGCUCAGGCUCUCGAACUCUUGUGAAGCAUAUUUUUCUUUAAUGUGUGGCAGCAGGCCUUGGAAAGCUACAUCGGCCAACUGUGCGUCGGUUAGAGCCAGGGAGUAGCAUUUGUUCCUGAUUUCCCGAAACCUCUGUAUAUACGAGGGUAUCGGCUCAUCACUUCUUUGCCGGAGGCUAGUCAAAUCGGACAGCUUCAUUUCAUGGACCCCAGCAUAGAAGUACUUGUGGAACUGCCUUUCUAGAUCGGCCCAUGUGAUAAUUGAGUUUGGUGGCAAAGUUGUGAACCACUGGAAGGCCGAUCCAGACAAGGAUGACGAGAACAACCGCACCCGCAGGGCAUCUUGCGUAGCUGCCUCCCCACAUUGAAUGAUGAAUCUAUUCACAUGUUCUACGGUAGAAGUGUCAUCCAUCCUCGAAAAUUUGGUAAAAUCAGGAACCUUGUACCGAUGGGGAAAUGGCAACAAGUCAUAUGUAGAUGGGUAUGGUGUUCUAUAGGUAUAAGUUUGCACCUUCGGCUUCAGGCCGAAUUGUUCUUGCAUUACCUCUGCAAUUUGCGCCGACCAAUCUGGUUGUUGCUGGGGAACAAUUGGCGGCGGCAUCGGCACGUGCUGAUAAAUCGGAGGCUGAAUAAAAGGAGGUUGAUGAAAAGGUGGUAUCUGAGUAUAAGCCGGUGGUGUAGUAAAUGACGGCUGCUUGUAUGAACCACUUGUCUCAUCAUAUAGCAUGAGCUCUGACGUUUUGUUGACCUCCGGAGCGAUAGGCUGGUAUGGUGGUAUGAUCGGCUGAGUGGCCGUUUGGGAAGGUAUCUGGAACGGAGGAUUUCCUUGACUGACCGAUUGAUUCAAACCGGUCGUUUUUAAGGGUGCCCCCCAGGGUAAAGGGAUGACUGGAGGGAGUGGUGCAGAGGAUAGUUGGAUAGAGCCAUAUCCCAAAGAAGUUGAUGACGCAGAGGCACCGGGCCCUCCGAUAGAAGCUUGGAUCGGCUGUGAAGCCUGAUAAGCCUGAUUUGGCGGAAUCGGCUGAAAAUACGUUGGUCCCCUGUACCCUUGAGGUAUACCUCCGGCGAAGGAGUUGACAACAGCAUUGUGCACCAUGUUUGAAAGUACCGGGGAUUGAUUGAUGAAGGCGUGAUGAAGAGAUUGUUGAAUCAUAUCGGACAUUUUAUCCGAAUCUUCAGAAAUUGUGAUCUGGCGGGGAGUAGGGAAAGGAGUCUUUUUAACAGUUUCCCCGCUCCUGGAACGACUGAAGGAUUUCAAGCAAGUUUGCCGGACUUGCUCCAAAUACUUAUUCAGAUCGUCCUUUUGGUCGUCCUUUAGAUCUGCUUCCGUCACUUCGAUGACGUUAUCUUCGGAAACUUCAGCAGUUUUUGACAUGUUGGCGGUUGUAUUGGUCCCACUGGGCGUGCCAAAAGUGUGUUGGCGUUUAGAAAUCGGUCAACCGAAUCCCAGCGGCCGACACACGACCCGGGAGAAUCUGCUUAGCUCCUGUUCGGGUGAAUGCCCUGGUGCGGUUCGCGCGGCGUGCCAGCCAAUCUGACCUGUUGAUUGGCAAGGAAGAACGCGUGUCAAAUUCAGAAACUACGAUCGGCUAAGUUUCCGAUCGAAAGAGCUUAUCGGCAAAUCGGCCGAUCCGCUGUGAUAAUGAAAUCGGCUACAAGACAGCACGAUCCCUGUAGCCUUGUAGACAGAAAAAUACUAAAGUGAUCGGUACAAAGCUUAUAAUAACAGCACUAGGAAAAGAUCUAAUCGGCAAAGCCGAUACUACCGAUUCCUAGCGGGAUAACUGGUGAUAAAACUUAGGAAAACAGGUGAAAACCUAUUAAUCUAGUUGAUAUCGAUAACUAAUGAAUAAAUCUAAACGAAACAACAGCGAUGCGCCGGGAGUUAAAGCUUAGAUAUUACUCGAUAAGCGGAACUUACAGAAUCGGCCGAAGAUCAAGGUGAUGCAGCCCUGCCAACCCGCACGAACUCGUGAGAAGAAAAAGUAAUGGCGAAGUCGCCUGCUUGAAAGUAAAUACGAAGAGGAAAGUAACUUGUUGUAUUGAUUGGUUGAUGUUUACAGAUUUACAAAGGUAGCUAUUUAUAGCCCCGUUCAGAUAACUUCUUAACCGACUAGAAUUCUAUCCCUAAUUCAAACAGAAAACAAAUAUCUAAUAAGCACGAUUCGUGCUAGGUUGGUUAUUCCACGCUUCAUGGGCUGACUUCCACCUCAUCCUUCCAAGCCCAUACAGGCCCAAUUAAUACACCCUCCUAAUCGGCCGAUUUCUCAUCGGCAAAGGAUUGCCGAUUGGGAGUCUGGCGCAUUCUCCCUGAAGCGAAGUAAAAGCUGCCGGCCGAUUCUGCAUUAUAGCACCAUUUGACCGAUUCCCAACUGUACUGCUUCGACUUCUUUUCUCCUUGGCGCCGAUUCUACUGAUGACGAAAUCCGGCGUCAACAACUCCCAAGCAAAACAAUCCUUGAAUUCUCUUAAUAAAUUUGUCAAGUUACACUUAUACUCUGGAUCUAAAUUUGCACUAAUAAAAGUCGGCCUUGGUUUGGUCCCGUCACCUAAAUCUACCAUCUCCAAUGAAUCGGCCGACGUGAAUCCGUGUCCCAGCUUCCCGUCUUCUCGGGCGAACUGAUCCAUCUAUUGCGCUUCUUCGGAGCCGACUGCUCGGAUCGGCUGUAGGCCAAAAUCGGUGACCUUCAGGAAAUCGGUUUCCCACACCGUACCUGAUAUGCACCUGACGGUUUCGCAGCUCCAUUGCUGUGCGUCGGCUGCUGCGAUGCUGUACGCGGAGUCGGCUUUGACCACCUCGAUGUUAUCGCCGACCCAUUGUACAAGGCAUUGAUGCAUAGUUGACGGGAUGCAGCAGUUUGCGUGUAUCCAAUCUCGGCCAAGAAGCAUAUUAUAGGACCCUUUGCCAUUAAUGACGAAAAAUAUGGUAGGAAGGGUCUUACUGCCGAUAGUGAGGUCGACGCAGAGAGCACCGCGAGCGUUUGACACCUUGCCUUCGAAGUCCUUGAGCAUCAUGUCCGUCCUGGUUAGGUCGUCGUCGCUCUUUCCUAGCUUCCGAAGUACGGCAUACGGCAUGAUAUUGACGGCAGCUCCUCCGUCGACCAUUAAUCUAGUGAGGGGGCGACCGUCAACAUGCCCUUUAAGGAACAACGCCUUCAUGUGUUGUCGCUCGUCAUCUUCGGGCUUUUCGAACGUGGCCAUCAUUGGUUCUAAAGCCAACCGUGCUGUUUGUUCCUCUAUCGCCGACACGUCCUGUUGAUCGGCAGGGGUCAUGAACUCCAUCGGCAAUAUGAAAACCAUACCGAUCUCGGCUGCCGACUCAUCAUUUCCCUUGUCGUUUCUUUUGGGGCGCCACACCCGAGGCCUCUCUUCCUUGUUGUCCAUCGCGCUCUCUUCUUCUUGCUGUUCCCAUUGGCGGAGGCGUUGGAUUCUCCGUUUUUGUGAUUUGGUUAACCCAUCGGGGCACCAUCUGGGGUUUAUUGGCCUGCCUUCUUUCCCGGCGCGCUCCCAUUCUGGCUCGCGUCCUAACGGGUUCUCGUCCGUUACCCGAGCAUCGGCCAUGUCUUCGAGCCGGCUGUGAACGCUGGCUUUGCUAUUUGAUUGAUCGUUUCGAUCGGUCCUGCCCCCCUGCCUAUUAUGGCUUCUACCUUCUGACCGAUCAUAUCGGUCACUUCUGCCCCCCAGCCGAUCACGCAUGGAAGGGCGCUGAUGAUCUGGGUUGCGCCAAUUCCUGCUGAUCGGCUCUGGUCCUCCGUCCCUGGAGCGAGACCUGGGGAACGGCCGAUUGCCUCGAUAGGGACUGUUGCACUCAGGGCAAGUAUCGGCCGAUGGUAGCCUGAGGUUAUUUUCCCAACAAUGGAUGAAGAAUGGGCAUCUCCAGUGCUCCUCGUGCCGACGCAUCGCUUCCUCUCGGGACCUCGAACGUUCAUGUUGGCGUUGGUACUUUUGGAGCAGGAACUGGGAAGUAAUGCGUGGUCCUUCUGACUCACCAUCAUCGGCCUCCAUUCGUCGUUUUCCCUUGAUGUCUUCAGACGUAACUUGAUUUCUGGGAUCGACAGCGCCACUCUUUUUUGCCGAUUCGGACGUCAGUACUUUUGUUUGGAGAGAAUCCCUCCCCGUGUCAGCCAUGUUGGUAGGAAAAGGGUGCUGGUCGAUUUUCAUUGGUUUGGCCGAUUUUGCCGGCACUUCAAAUUUGAGUCUGCCCUGCUCAAUGGCCGACUGUAUUUGUUGCCUGAAGAUUUGCACUCGUUGGUAUCAUGUGACGUGGCAUUGUGCCACUUGCAAUACUUCAUCUUCUUCAACUGUUCGGCAGAGGGUAUUGUGUGGUAAGGCGAGAGUUUAAUCUGCCCUUCUUGGAGUAGAAGGUCGAAGAUCUUGUCAGCUUUAGUUGUAUCGAAACCAAAUGCUUCCGGCUCCUUCUUGCCGAACGGGCAUGAUAUCGGCUUCUUUCCCUUAAUCCACUCUGCAAGUCCGAUCUCGGCGUCUUCUUCAUCUUCUACUUCUUCCAGGAAUGCCACUUUCUUCUGGAAAUUCCUUCUUGGAUCGAAUGGACGUAUUUCCUGCCCGGACAAUCGGUGAACAAUCUGGCUCAGGCUUUCGAACUCUUGUGAAGCAUAUUUCUCUUUAAUAUGUGGCAACAGGCCUUGGAAAGCUAUAUCGGCCAACUGCGCGUCGGUUAGAGCCAGGGAGUAGCAUUUGUUUCUGAUUUCCCGAAACCUUUGUAUAUACGAGGGUAUCGGCUCAUCACUUCUUUGCCGGAGGCUAGUCAAAUCAGACAGCUUCAUUUCGUGGACUCCAGCAUAGAAGUACUUGUGGAAUUGUCUUUCUAGAUCGGCCCAUGUAAUAAUUGAGUUUGGUGGUAGAGUCGUGAACCAUUGGAAGGCCGAUCCUGACAAGGAUGACGAGAACAACCGUACCCGCAGGGCAUCUUGUGUAGCUGCCUCCCUGCAUUGGAUGAUGAAUCUAUUCACAUGUUCUACGGUAGAAGUGUCAUCCAUCCCCGAAAAUUUGGUAAAAUCAGGAACUUUGUACCGAUGGGGGAAUGGCAACAAGUCAUAUGUAGAUGGGUAUGGUGUUCUAUAGGUAUAAGUUUGCACCUUCGGCUUCAAGCCGAAUUGUUCUUGCAUUAUCUCCGCAAUUUGCGCCGACCAAUCUGGUUGUUGCUGGGGAAUAGUUGGCGGCGGCAUCGGCACAUGCUGAUAAAUCGGAGGCUGAAUAAAAGGAGGUGGAUGAAAAGGUGGUAUCUGAGUAUAAACCGGUGAUGUAGUAAAGGGCGGCUGCUUGUAUGAACCAUUUGUUUCAUCAUAUAGCAUGAGCUCUGACGUCUUGUUGACCUCCGGAGAGAUAGGCUGGUAUGGUGGUAUGAUCGGCCGAGUGGCCGUUUGGGAAGGUGUCUGGAACGGAGGGUUUCCUUGACUGACCGAUUGAUUCAAACCGGUCGUGUUUAAGGGUGCCCCCCAGGGUAAAGGGAUGACUGGAGGGAGUGGUACAGAGGACGGUUGGAUAGAGCCAUAUCCCAGAGGAGUUGAUGACGCAGAAGCACCGGAUCCUCCGACAGAGGAUUGGAUCGGCUGUGAAGCCUGAUAAGCCUGAUUUGGUGGAAUCGGCUGAAAAUACGUAGGUCCCCUGUACCCUUGAGGUAUAGCUCCGGCGAAGGAGUUGACAACAGCAUUGUGCACCAUGUUUGAAAGUACCGGGGAUUGAUUGAUGAAGGCGUGAUGAAGAGAUUGUUGAAUCAUAUCGGACAUUUUAUCCGAAUCUUCAGAAAUUGUGAUCUGGCGGGGAGUAGGGAAAGGAGACUUUUUAACAGUUUCCCCGCUCCUGGAACGACUGAAGGAUUUCAAGCAAGUUUUACGGACUUGCUCCAAAUACUGAUUCAGAUCUUCUUUUUGGUCGUCCUUUAGAUCUGCUUCCGUCACUUCGAUGACGUUAUCUUCGGAGACUUCAGCAGCUUUCGACAUGACAGCGGUUGUAUUGGUCCCACCGGGCGUGCCAAAAGUGUGUUGGCGCUAGAAAUCGGUCAACCGAAUCUCAGCGACCGACACACGACCCGGGAGAAUCUGCUUAGCUCCUGUUCGGGUGAAUGCCCUGGUGCGGUUCGCGCGGCGUGCCAGCCAAUCUGACCUGUUGAUUGGCAAGGAAGAACACGUAUCAAAUUCAGUAACCACGAUCGGCUAAGUUUCCGAUCGAGAGAGCUUAUCGGCAAAUCGGCCGAUUUACUGUGAUGAUGAAAUCGGUUAUAAGACAACACGAUCCCUGUAGCUUUGUAGACAGAAAAAUACUAAAGUAAUCGGUACAAAACACGUAAUAACAGCACUAGGAAAAGAUCUAAUCGGCAACGAAUGGAUCUAACAACAGAAAGUAAUGAAAGCCGAUACUACCGAUUCCUAGCGAGAUAACUGGUGAUAAAAACUAGGAAAACAGGUAAAAACCUAUGAAUCUAGUUGAUAUCGAUAACUGAUGAAUAAAUCUAAACGAAACAACAGCGAUGCGCCGGAAGUCAAAGCUUAGAUAUUACUCGAUAAACGGAACUUACAGAAUCGGUCGGAGAUCAAGAUGAUGCAGCCCUGCCAACCCGCACGAACUCGUGAGAAGGAAAAGUGACGGCGAAGUCGCCUGCUCGAAAGUAAGUACGAAGAAUAAAGUAACUUGUUGUAUUGAUUGAUUGUUAUGUUUACAGAUUUACAAAGGUAGCUAUUUAUAGCCCCGUACAGAUAACUUCCUAACCGACUAGAAUUCUAUCUCUUAUUCAAACAGAAAACAAAUAUCUACAAGCACAAUUCGUAUUAGGUUAGAUACCCCACGCUUCGUGGGCUGACCUCCACCUUAUCCUUCCAUCCUUUUCCAAGCCCAUACAGGCCCAAUUAGUUCAUCCUCCUGAUCGGCCGAUUUCUCAUCGGCAAAGGAUUACCGAUUGGGAAUCUGGCGUAUUCUCCCUGAAGCGAAGCAAAAGCUGCCAGCCGAUUCCUCACUAUAGCACCAUCUGACCGAUUCCUAACUGCACUUCCUCGACUUCCUUUCCCCUUGGCGCCGAUUCUACUGAUGACGAAAUCCGGCGUCAACAGGUAUGUUCAUAACCGGUGGCAGGUGGGUAAUUUUUUACGUCAAAAGUACUUGAAAGCAGGAGGAAAGGUACUUUUGAUUUUAUACGAGAGUAAAAGUAGUUUUUGAGAAAAACAUCUAUGAUUUUUAGACUCUUUAGUUGAUUUUUGACUUUUGCAAAAACAAAAACUGGUUGAAAAGUCUAACACCCUAAAACUUGCGGUACUGUGCUCCAUCUGAGGUGCAGUACGAAAUCUCAGAUUCCACUUCGUCCGUCGACCGUCGUCCCCAACUCCCCAUUGACAAUGAAGGCCUUGUUUACUUUCCUCCAAACUCCCAACUUUGACACUAUGCAAAAAGAAGAUUUCUCAUCAUAUCAAACUUGCGGUACAUGCAUGAAGUAUUAAAUGUAGACGAAAUUAAAAACUAAUUGCACAGUUUUGUUGUACUUUGCGAGACGAAUCUUUUGAGCCUAAUUAGUCAAUAUUUAGACAAUAAUUCACAAAUACAAACGAAACGCUACAGUUGCGCAUUUAUGGCAAAAUGUCAAUUUUGCCUAUCCCAAGUUGGGAAGUAAACAAGGCCGAAGUCGUGGAGGAAAUUGAACCAACCGUCGCGUCGCGGGCCGGGGUGGGAGCCCACUGGCCCAGUGGCCAGCCAGGCAACCACCUUGCCCAGUGCGGCACCGGCUCGCCGCCACCACGAUCUGCCCCGGCGGCCUCACCGCCAUUCCUGCCGCUGGCGACGACCGCAGCAAGCAGUUUCUUCUCAACCAACCAACCCGCCCGGCACGCCCCCGCGCUUCGCCGUCGCAACGUAAGCUUCCCAGAUCCCUUUCGUUUCCGUCUGGACCGAGCUAGGCCACACUUCUACUCGUCCACAUUCUCUUCUCGGUUCCCACAUACUUUUCAAGUCAAACGAUUACAAAUCGGUUUAACCAACUCCGAUCAGCGAUCACAGCCGGAUUGUGCAAUCCCUGGAUGGCCGGAUCCACGAGCUUGCUAAAUAUGGGCACAUCCCCUCCUUUUCGCCCGCACGCGAGGCGUGGACCACCGGCGGAUCAAGCGUUCUUAAAACCCCGCAGUCCAGGAACAACGCAACAAGCGGAAGAUGACAAGGGGAGUUGUUCGGCGGGAUGGGAGUUACUCGGCCGCGCGCCCGCCGCAUGUGCUGCUGCUGGUGGUUUUGUUCGGAGCGCGCUCUAGGUGUUCGAUGUAAUGGGUCGGAAGGUUAAUUAGCCGGCUGUUUGCGUCCUGAAGAUCCCGCGUCAGCGUCAGGAAUUCGAUGGAUAGUAAUCGACGCGGAAUCGUGGAAUUACGAAUCGGUGUGUGCGGUGUGGGUGUUGUUUAGCUCAUUAGGUGGGAUGUGGCUUUCAGAGAUUCCUGGUGUCGCCUUGGGGAAUAUUCAUGCUCCGUGGUGAUGGCUUAGUUCAGGUUUCGUGUAGUUGUUGUUCUCUUCAGGAGGGUUACCACCUGUUACACCAUCGAUCAAAAGUGUAAUUGAUUGUAGGUGCAUUGCAGUUCCACUAGACAGGUUAAUUUGCUUCAGAGUGCUCCUGAUGGAAAUAGUAUGGUCGGUGACUCGGUGAUCAAAAGUCUAGUUGUCUCAUGUUACAUUUGCAGUAAUUAGCUUUUUGACUGUUGUGUUUGGCGACAGGUUGUCGAAAAUGGGUAGAACAGUGGUUCCUGUGUGGUGGUCCUCUAGUGCAGUGCAGAUCAGCCAAUCCAAAGUUGCACUAGAUUAAGAAUCCACUUUUGUCCUAAAGGAUAAGGAGCCUUUCUGGAAGUGACAAGUGCUUAGAACUUUGACAGAGUAGUUGUUGUUAGAUCGGGUGGAGCUUUCAGUAUGCACUUGGACAAGUCCUUUUAGAAGUAUGUCCAGCCUUUAGAUUUAGCAUUUGGAUCGGUUUCCAUAUGAAAAGGUCUGUCCACUUGUUGUCAUCACAUUCCUAUGUAUGUGCGCAUGCUUAUUGUUUGAUGAUGCUACUCUUUCUGAACAUGGCUCCAAGGAUUCACAUUCUCUAUGGUUGCCUUGUACAUUUAAGGUUGCCUUAGUUAUACAGAGGUUUAGUGCUGCAUCUGGCCUGGGCUAGGAUUAAAGCUGUUCUCCUUGGCAUGUAUCAUCAAUUUGCCAGUGAUAUACUAUCACUACCAAGAUAAGGUUGCUGUGCUGUAAUGCACCUGCACUUCAUUUCUUAAGGCGAGAUACCUAAUUCGAACCCACUCUUCGAAUAGCAUUCAUUAGUCUUAAUUUGCUUCCAAGAUCUGAUACAUUACAUACACACUUAAUUUUUUUCCAAGAAUCCUAUGUGAAGGGAAAUUCAUUAGUCUUAAUUUGCUUCCAAGAUCUGAUACAUUACAUACACACUUAAUUUUUUCCAAGAAUCCAAUGUGAAGGGAAAUAAAGUUUGAUAGUAAUAUAUUCAAAUUUGUUUUUCAGGAAAAUGAAGUAUCUUCCGCUUUAUUGGAUACCAAGCAAAGGAUGCUAAAAAAUGUUAGCGUCAUCUAAAGAUGGGUACAGACUCUAUUUAAGAGUGUCGUAUCACCUUAUGUUGUCUACUGCCCAAUAGCCUAUCUUUAUCUAUGAACUUUAUCAUACCAUUAUUUUAGCUAAAUUCAAUAAGGUGGGAUCUAAAUUCUAGUUUACUACGUGCUCCCAGAUGAUAGAUACAAACUGUGCGAUCCAUGUCCACGACACACUGUCUUUGAUCUCUAGAUCGCUUCAGGCUUGCACAAUCAGGUAUAAUGUGGGACCUUGGCCUAUAGCUCAAAUGCUCAAUCGCUUAUCUUCACGCAGGGCAUAUUCAAAUUCCAACUUCUGCAUGGUUUUGUAUCAGGAUAUUUGCUCUGUAACACUGGAACCUCUGCAGUUUAGCAACCUGGCAUCUUUGGAAGAAAGAUGUUAUAUAUUCACAUCUGAGAAGACAGUGAAGUGUCAUUCUGGAAUUUGUUACUAUCCUGAUUGCCCAUGAUAGGAUGGCCGGUGAUUAAAAGUUUCUUUCUCUCCUUUCUAACAUUUGCAGUAAGUAGCCAUUUGAUUGUUAUGUUUGGGGACAGGUUGUUGAAUUUGGGUAGAACACUGUUCCUUUCUGGUGGUCUUUUGUGCAAUGCAAGCCUUCCAUCCUAAAGUUACACUAGAUUAAGAAUCUACUUUGACCUAAACUAUAAGAAGCCUUUCUGUAAGUGACAAGGGCUUUUGUUAUUUAUUAACAGUUAGAACUUUGACGGAGUAGGUGUUAGAUCAGAUGGAGUUUUCAGUUGGCAUUUGGACAAAAGCUGAUAGGUCCUUUUAAAACUUGGAAGUAUCCCCAGGCCUUAGACCUAGCGUUUGGAUCUAUUUUUAUAUGAAAAGGUCAGUUAACUUGUUUUCGUCAUGUUCCUAUGUAGCAUGUAUGUGUACAUGCUUUUUUUUUAAUGAUGGUAUUCUUUCUGAAGAUGGCUGGAUUGAUUUCCUAUGGUUGCGCUGUACAUUUAAAAUUGCCCUAAUUAGAAGUUUGUUCCUUUCAAAAGUUUAGUUCUACGUCAGUUUAGAAACUUGGUCUGGGCUAAGGUUAUUGUGCUGUAAACUGUAAUGCACACACGCUUCUUCUCUUAAGGUGACAUAUUAAGUCUACUCUCUGGAUAGUGUUCAUUAGUGUUAAUUUGCGUCCAUGAUCUGAUCUAUUUAUACCAACACAUUAUUUUUUGCAAAAACCUUGUGAAGGGAGUUAAAUUUUGAUAGAAAUGGAUUCAAAUUUCCUUGGAUCAAGAAUUUCUUAUCUGUAAAGGAAAAGAAAGUUGUCUUUCCCAUUAUCUAAUUCCAAGGGAUGUCAAAAUUCUUCUUCAUCUAGACCUGCCUGAGUACAGACUCUGAACUAAGAGUGUGCAACAUCACCAUAUUUUGUCUACUGUCCAAUAGCCUAUCUUUACCUAUGAACUUCAUUCACAACAUUAGUUUAGCUAUGUUCAGUAAGGUGAGAUCUAAACUCGGAAGUCCACUGCAUGCUUCCAAAAUAGGGUAAUCUAUGUCCAUGCAUCCAUGGGACCUUGGCCUGUAGAUCAGCGGUUCAUCCUAAUAAAGAACAUGUUCAAAUCCCCAGCAGUACAUAUUUUUUUCUAGAACUAGUAGUACAUAAUUAUUUUUACCAGGAUAUUUCCUCUGUAACACUGGAAAUUCUGCUGUUUAUGAAACUGGUAUCUUUGAAAUACACAGGUUUGUUACCAUAAUUGUAAAGUGCCAUCCUUACAUAUGCAUGUUAACACAAGGGUGGAAUACAAUGUUAAGUAAACUGCUUUGUACUUGAGUGUUUGACUGUUUGUGUUGUUUGAUGUGCUGUGUAUUCUGUAGGUAUGCACUGGGCCACUCGGGAGCCUUUUUUUCCUGCAUUUGCAUUCAUGUCACAAGUGCACACAAAGUAUUGUGUUAGAUUAGAUCACAUGAUGUUUUCAGUAUGUACUUGGACAAAAGCUCAUAGGUCCUUUUGGAAGUAUCCGAAGCCUUUUGAUUUAUGAUCAGGUUAGAUUUUCAUACGAAAAGUUCGGUCCACUUGUUUUGAUCACAUUGCCAUGUGUGUCCACACAUUCUUUGAAGAUACCAUAUUUGAACAUGGAUGGAAGAAUUUGCUGCAGUUUUGUGGUACAUUUAGGAAUUAGGAUUGCCUUAGACAGGGCCUUGUUCUGUAGAAAGGACAGUCUGUAUCAGGUUAAAAAUUUAGGCUAAGAUAAAGCUGUUCUUGACAUGCAUCAAUUGAUUGCCAGUGAUGUUAGUAAACUACAAAGACAAAGUCAGUGCGUGGUAAUGUGCAUGCACUUCUGUUCUUAAAGUGAGACUUAUGUUUUUAAUGUACUCAUUGAAUAUCAUUGGUAUUAAUUUGCUUCCAUUAUCUGAUAUUUGCAAGGUGUAACCAACUUUGUUUUGUAAGUCCACUGCAUGCUUCUAGAUGGUAGACAGGAAUUAAGGAAUUAAAGAAGCAAGUAGACUUGUUAUCUUUGGAAUAAAUAUGCAUCAUGUUCACAUUAUCUUAAAGUGUCAUCUUAAAUUUAUGUGUUAACACAAGGUAGGAAUUCUAUGUUAACAAAACUGCCUUGGACCGGAAGUCAGGAAUUUUGUUAGCUGCAAUCUUGUAUAGCAGAGUGCUUGUGUCGUUUAAUGUACGCGUCAUGUUGAGGUUAGAUUUGGCUGCUGAGCCUGUUCUUUUUGCAGUUUACACUGAUGUAUUAAGUGUGCACAAAUAAUCAUGUGCCAGUUGGCCUCUAGGUGAAAGUUUUCAAUGGUACUUAACAUCUGAACCUGAUUUGUAAGACCUCUAUCUAACUUCAUGCUAUUAACCUGUCGUAGCUCUUUGAAAAGUGGUAGUUUACCUACAAAGAACAAUUUAGCCUAUGUAAAAAUCAAUUGCAGUUGUCUAAAAAGUUAUAAUGGCUAAUAAGUACUAGUCUGGUGUACCAUGUGACAGCCUAAUCUGUUAACUGCAAAUCUCCAUGCAACCAGUCCUGGUAGCAAGAUGGAAACAGUUAAGUGGGCCAAGUCCAAUAGGCCGACAGAUUCUACUGAUCAAUUCAGCCCACUAGAUGAUCCUACAAGCUUGCAAGUGUCUGCCACCUAAAGAAUUCUGGUUCUCACUUCAUGCAUGAGGAGAACAUCUGUUUUCUCAUGGAACCUUCUGAUCCAUUUGGCAAUUCUUUCUUGCGAUCUGAAAAGAAACAAUUGUGGCUUCUUUCUCUCUGUUGGAUGUCUGGUGUUUUACUUCUUAAAUUCUGUGGCUGUACUCGAUGCAGGUCAAGCCUGUUGGUCCAAGUAAUAAUGUCAUUGUGGAACAUAAUUCUAACAAUUGAUCGACAAUAUUAAAGAUCUAAUAUAAUCCUGAUGAUAGAAAUUUCAGUGUGAACUGUAUCACUAUUGGUUGCAUCCAUGCGACUACAAGCAAGAUUUCAUGCUAAGAAGCUGGAUGCAUUGCACAAUCAAUUUUUUUUCUCAGGUUAUAUCUGUGUUAGCACGCAUCGUGGCUUGAUAAAUGGCUGAUCUUUGAAAUGAUCUCUACAUUUUGCCUUUUGUUUGUUCUGAUAUGGUUCGCCGAUUUGUCCAUUUUACUGUGAUACCUAGACCAGGGCCUGUUUGGCCAGGCUUCGGUUAGCUCCAGCUCCUCCUGCAUGUGCACUGUAGCAGUAUUGUGUGUCAUUGUUGCAUGGAGCUAUUCUUCUUUCUCAGUUUCUCCUGGCCAAAAUGAAUUAGGAAAAGUUAGGAGCCGGUGAAGCCACAUUUUUGGGCUUCACGGGCUCCGGCUCUUGGGGUUCUACAGUAACGCUAGAUUAUUGAAGCUGGAGCACCAGCCAUACCAUAGAGGGGCCUAAUGGAAAGCAUACUAGCUGUGUAACGUACUGUCUUGUCUUAACCUUAUCAGUUUGAGCACCAUCUUAUUCUGAUUGCCAUUUAUGUCUGAAGGUAGUUGAUGGCCAUGCUUGGCUCACAACAAUUUUGUUGGAGUGGUAAAGACUAAGUAAACCAUGGCGCAUUCGAUCAGGUAUGCAUCUCCUGAUUCCUUCCCUUCAUCUAAAUGGCAGGAUGGGCGUAUACUGUGAACUCUAUUUUUGGCCUUUUAAGUUUUCCCAAUUGGAAGGUCUGCCUCUGUAAAUUUAGAGAAAUUAAUGAACCCUAUCAAUCUAAAAAAUAGAACUUUUUUCAAAAUCACAUCAUGUAUCCAACCUUCUUGUAAUUAGGUGUGUAGAUUAAAUGUCAUUGGACUAGAUUGUUAAGUACAUAAUAUUAGUAUAUUACAUGCUAUUUCCUCUGCACGCUGAACUGGGAAGUGGACCCUAUCCCUUUUCUAGGAAAGUAUGUUGUAGGAAAAAUCCUCACGGAUAGAUGCUUGUGAGGUUGAAUGAUGUUGUUUUCCUCAGUCCUCAGCAUUGAUGUAUAUGUAAACAGUAAACCAAACUUCUUUCUUCUUGACAUCAAUUUAACAUAGCUCUAGUUUUGCUCUUGCAGAACUUGUAGAUGUAACCAUACUUAUUGUUAUCAAUUUCACAUAACUGUAAUUGUAGGUUCCUUGUCAUCAUUGUUUGAUUCGUGAUCCACUAAUUUACUGGUUCUAUAUUAUACACCAUAGUCACGUUAGCCUUAUUCUUCUGUGCACGAGAGAGUUCAUGCCACUAAUAGUGGACCUUGUGCCCUUAAUUGCCUCUAUAAUAAGCAUCUGCUAGCAUUUUCAUUGACCGCUACAAAGUACUGUGAUAUGCUAGCUUGAUUAAUGGAAAUUUUCAGCACUACUUGGCCAUGGCGCACACGCCACAAAGUAAUGCGAUACCCUGAACAGUUUGCCCACUUGCUAAAGUAAUCUGAUUGUCAAGUUGACAGUUUGUUUCUUUCCUACAAUCGACCAAUGCAAGCUGGGGAUGGAAUUCCUUUUGUUGCCAACUCCCAAGAAACUGAAUUUCAGCCGAUUUUUCUUUGCCACUACUAGCAUCCAUGAUCCAUGGCAUAGGAUUCGUGUUGUUCAGCAUCGUCUUUUUCAGCCGGCAGGAUAUGGGAGAAGGGGAUCAGCUGACUGUAUAGUAAGAGGCUGCUUGGUUGGUGGCCAUCGCCAACCAGUGGCGUGCCACAAUAUGUGGUGGCAAAAAUCUGCGCCGAAGGUUUGGUGGCCGUGGCGAGAAAAACAAUUGCAGUAUCAAUGGAGAGUUGUGGCGUGCCAAAAAUAAGUAAUCAAUCAAACACCUUCCUAAAUUAUUGUGACCGCCAAAGUUGUAGCGUGGAUAGUUGUGGUUGGAAACCAAACAUACCCUAAACGCUUGAAGAGGCACAGUUUCUCAAGAGGGCAAGUUGGUUUAACAGCAUUGCCUCACACAUGGUAUCCAUGGUUAUGCUUAAAAGUUACUAGUAUCGGAUUUAAACACUUGAAACUAUGCUGAAUGAUGGAUCCUGUAACAUCAUCGCCGGCAAGAAACAUGUAAUUUGACCCCUCUUCUUUUGGACAAAAUGUAAUUUGAAAUCUGAACACGAUAACUAGAAAACAUGUAACGGGGAAGUGGUCUUGCGACUUGCGUCGUGGUGGCCUGGUGGGCUGAUGGCCUCGUUCGUUCAUGCGCUUGUACUGCUGCGGCGGCGGCCAAAGUUGGCACACCCAAUUUUCCAGACGAUCAUUGGUUAAUCGUGCUCUAGUCCGGUGCCUUACAGCAGAGGGCUAAAGACGCCACCGUCAGAGCCGCACUUACUACCGUUGCUACUGGCCUCUAAUGGUGGUCGUGGCACCCAAUUUGCAUCGGCAUCAUGUCAGUCGCCGAGAGAACAUUUUGUUUUGCGCGUGUGAGGGUAAUCACUUUUUAGGCAGGAUUUGAUUUGAAUCUUUCAGGGGAGAGAAGUAGUGCUAGCAGGACGAUAGCCGGGCCCAGGAACAUGCACGUCGCUGUCGUGGGUGUCCGAGAUGGUACAGAUCGAGCGACACGUCGCCGCCUUGGCGCCUUGCCGUUGGCUGCGCGGUAUCUCGUGAUGUCCCCAGCUAGCGGCAUCCAGCAGGCUGGAACCGGGGAGGGUUCAUUCAUGGCCGUCAAAUUGCACAAGCCAUCUGUUCUUGUCUUCUUGAUCGAGUCUAUUCAGAUUGGGGCAAUUGAUUGUUGAUGGCGAUCCCGCUACCUGCCAAUUGUCUAUAUUCAGUUCUUUCGAGUUCCAACAUCUCUGGAGCUCGCCGAGAUGACAGCGUGAAAUUGCGAGAUAUUGCAGCAGCGAUUUAAUAAAAAUUUGAAAUUUCCAUUGAACAUUUGGUCAAAUACUCAAAUCCAUCCACGGACAAUAGAAUGCAGGAAGGGAUUAACGCAAAGGCUGACACGGGAUGCAAUGCAAGCCGAGGCGUAAAUAGUCUCCGACUUCUAGAGGGUAGCAGCGAUUAUUCGUAGCAGCGGACGCGGUGGUAACACGGGGGUGGUGGUGGUGGCUGUCGUCAUCAUCUUCGUCGUCGUCGUCGCGGUGGCUGGCGGGUCUCAGAACUCGACGCCCUUGAAGACCUUGCGCACCUGCUCGAGCGUGACGAAGAGCACGACGGUGAAGGGCCCCUGGCGCAUCACGGUGGGGAUGAACCCCUUGUAGAGCGCCAUGGGCCCCUCGGACCGCACGGUCUUGAGCGCGCAGUCGACGGCGCCGGCGUACGGCGGGGGCGCGCCGGGCGCCACCUUCAUGUUCAUCAUCCGCGUCUUGACGACGUCGACGGGGUUGGACGCCGCGGCGGCCACGAUGCCCGCGGUGAAGCUGGCGGCGACGUGCGUGGCGAGGCCGUCGGCGCCGGGGCCCCGGCGCGCCAGGAUGGCCUCCUUGGCCUGGUCGUAUGUGGCCAGCUGCGACGCCGUGACGAUCAUGGCGCGGUUCACCGUGAGGGACGACCCGCGCCACAGGCUGCGGACGCCCUCGUCGCGCGCCAUCCGGCCGAUGGCGUCCCCGACGCUGCGGUAGUUCCGGCGCUCGGCGAGGGGCAGCCGCCCGUCCGCCUGCAUCCGCACCAUGGCCACGUCGGCCGGGUUGCCGACGGCGGCCCCGACUCCGCCCGCGACCAGCCCCGCCGCGAUCUUGCGGUGGAGCGGCAGCACGCCGCCGUUCUCCUGGGUCCACUUUGUCUUGAGGAUGUCGUAGAGCCCCAUCCGCGUGGUGGAGUAGAGCGUCUGGCGCAGCAUGGUGGCGGAGACCCCGGAGAAGAGCGCCGCGGCGCCCUCGGAGCGCAGGAUCUGCGCGCCGACGGCGACGGGCCCGGGCUUCCUCGGCGGCGCCGGGAUGUCGUGGUGGUGCGGGAGCGCGACGGUGUGGCCGCCCGCGUGGAACGCGAGCGCCGGGCGCAGCGCCGGCUGCGGCGGCACCGCGGCGGCCGCCUCCCCCUGCAGCUGCAUGCGGACCUUGAUGAGGUCGAGCGGGUGGGUGGAGCAGCCGGCCACGAUGGACGCGAUGCCGCCCUCGACGAAUCCCUUGACCCCCAUUGCUUGGUUUCUUGCUCCUCGCCGCGGUUGGUUCCUUCCUCUUCUUCCCCUUAGCAACCUCCUUAUCGGAGAGGGAUGGAUUCGAGACCAAGGAAAGCCGAAAACUAAAAACGGAAGCUCAAGAAAGCUCGGGGGAGCAAACCCACCCGAAACGAAAAGAAGAAGAAAAACGCGAGAUUAGCUAGCUACUGCUGCCAAUAGGAGCUGGGGCACAUCUCACUGGAGACCAGGAGAUGGGAAUGGAGCGCGAAGGCUAUUCUGGAGGAGUGUGGGACGCUGGCCCUCUGUGACAUAUGCUGCUCGUGGCUUCCUGCUUCCUCGGUGUGGGGAUUGUGUGUGGGGAGGAGGCGGCGGCGGGGGCGCUAUUUAUAGCUGGGGUGCCCGGGCGGGGCGGAAGGGUCAAGGAAGGAGACGGACGGACUGCCGAACGGGCGGGGGAGGUGGUGGCUA